Molecule: long non-coding RNA, 620 nt
Organism: Ornithorhynchus anatinus (platypus)
Lineage: Eukaryota; Metazoa; Chordata; Mammalia; Monotremata; Ornithorhynchidae
Exons: 5
Source: RefSeq, a predicted model, not a curated record
CAGUCGCAAUCCCUCAGAUCAGACAGGGGGCUCCUUCUGUAGCAGAAACCUCGAAAGCAUAGAUCUCUGAAUGGCAGGUGAACUGCAAGAGUGACAGCUAUCUAUUCAGCCCUGCAUUUUACCCAGGAAAAUCCAGAGAUGAUGACUAAGUGAUGGGGGUACAAAUUUGAGAUGUCUCAGCCAACCAGAGAGUUCAACUGAUCUGGCACUGCUGGCCUUUCUGAAGAACAAGAAAAAGGCUUCCUUGCCUAUCUAGAAGAAAUUGACUUUUUUCCAGCUAAUGGAAGGUUACAAGAACUGCCCUUUCCACAAAGUACAAGUACAUAUUUCUCAUGAAUAGUUACAGAAGCAAUCAAAUGGAGAAAGAAGAUGAAGGGAGAAGAUUCUCCACCAAGGUUUCACAGGAUAUCUCUGGGUGGAUUCUUGGCCAGAGGGGUUUUACUUCACAGCUGGAUUGUAAAUGAACACAUACAUAAGCGGAGAAGAUGAACUCUGAAGAAAUUUUUUGGUACAUUAGCAAGGAAACUUUAGCAUUAAGUCAACUGUAAGAGAAGGAGCAUGGCCUAGUGGAUAGAGCACCGGCCUGGUGGUCAGGACCUGGGUUCUAAUUCAGCUCCUCC